RNAcentral lists this long non-coding RNA (398 nucleotides) under Brassica napus (rape). Its description in RNAcentral is "long non-coding RNA (BNAP_LNC002262)". Lineage: Eukaryota; Viridiplantae; Streptophyta; Magnoliopsida; Brassicales; Brassicaceae. The record is from RNAcentral.
AACAUGAAACAUUCUUUUGUUCUCUAAAAUUUAGUUAAUAAGUAAAGAUUAUGCGACUCCCAAAUUGAUUAAGAAAAAUAUUUGUAUUAAUCAUAUGACAUUUAAUAAGAACCGGUCCUGAUAAAGAGUUAAAGACAAACAUUCUACAUAGCUACAACAUCUUAUUGUUUUGCAGAAACAACAUGAGAGAAAGCACAAUACUAAAACUGAAGGUUCUGUUUGCAACUCAAUCUCUGAUUAAGCUGUUACAUGCUUUCUGUGAUUAAGCUGUUACAUGUUUUACGUACACGUUUAUGUUCAGACAGACAUCAUCGCUAAUUAUAAAAAGACAGCAACAAAGAAACACUAGUUAGAACUAAGAUCCAACUUCGUAUCUCCCAUCGUUCUGCAAAGUCAUA